This 393-nucleotide ribosomal RNA is filed under the name uncultured bacterium. RNAcentral describes it as "partial 16S ribosomal RNA". It matches the Rfam family "Bacterial small subunit ribosomal RNA", at positions 523 to 918 of the family's 1533-position model. The record is from RNAcentral.
AUACGUAGGGGGCGAGCGUUGUCCGGAAUGACUGGGCGUAAAGGGCGUGUAGGCGGCUUUACAAGUCUUUCGUGAAAGUCCUGCUUUCAAGGUGGGAAUUGCGUAGGAAACUGUAGAGCUUGAGUGCGGAAGAGGUAAGUGGAAUUCCCAGUGUAGCGGUGAAAUGCGUAGAGAUUGGGAGGAACACCAGUGGCGAAGGCGACUUACUGGGCCGUAACUGACGCUGAUGCGCGAAAGCGUGGGGAGCGAACAGGAUUAGAUACCCUGGUAGUCCACGCUGUAAACUAUGAUAACUAUCUUUUAGCGAUACACAGUUAGAGGGUACGAGAAAUCAUUAAGUUAUCCACCUGGGGAUUACGUUCGCAAGAAUGAAACUCAAAGGAAUUGACGGGG